AGUGAACGCUGGCGGUAGGCCUAACACAUGCAAGUCGAACGGCAGCACAGUAAGAGCUUGCUCUUACGGGUGGCGAGUGGCGGACGGGUGAGGAAUACAUCGGAAUCUACUUUUUCGUGGGGGAUAACGUAGGGAAACUUACGCUAAUACCGCAUACGACCUACGGGUGAAAGCAGGGGAUCUUCGGGCCUUGCGCGAUUGAAUGAGCCGAUGUCGGAUUAGCUAGGUGGCGGGGUAAAGGCCCACCAAGGCGACGAUCCGUAGCCGGUCUGAGAGGAUGGGCCGCCACACUGGAACUGAGACACGGUCCAGAAUCCUACGGGAGGCAGCAGUAGGGAAUAGUGGGCAAUGGGGGGAAGCCUGAAGCAGGCAAGCCGCGGGGGUGAAGAAGGCCUUCGGGUUGUAAAGCCCUUUUGUUGGGAAAGAAAAGCAGCAGGUUAAUACCCCGCUGUUCUGACGGUACCCAAAGAAUAAGCACCGGCUAACUUCGUG
This 492-nucleotide ribosomal RNA is filed under the name uncultured bacterium. RNAcentral's name for it is "partial 16S ribosomal RNA". It matches the Rfam family "Bacterial small subunit ribosomal RNA", at positions 29 to 507 of the family's 1533-position model. The record is from RNAcentral.